This is a long non-coding RNA of Anguilla rostrata (American eel), 2663 nucleotides long. RefSeq lists it as uncharacterized. The transcript is spliced from 6 exons. NCBI's taxonomy places the organism in Eukaryota, Metazoa, Chordata, Actinopteri, Anguilliformes, Anguillidae. The record is from RefSeq and is a predicted model, not a curated record.
UCUUUCCCAAUGGCUUUAGUCGGAUUGCUAGGGGGACCAAGGUAAUACCUAUAAAGGUAGCCAGGUUCAAAUUAAUAAUGUCGAUUGCACGGAAAUGACUUAAAUUAUUCUUCACUAUUUCACUUUAACACUUAAAUAAUAGUGGCUUUGAAUAAUUUCUGUCACCACCAAGGUGUAGAAUUAUUGCUCAUUUUCAUCUGCAGACUGAAAAGGCUUCUCUUCAGUUUGCACCUGGCAAGUAGAUUAUUGGAUUUUGCAAAUAUAAAAGAAUGCCAUCUGCAUAUGAAGUUAUUUUAUGGGAAGCAUCUAAAAUUUGCAUUCCGGUACUGUUUUUGUUUUGGCUGAUGCAGCAAGGGGUUCUAAAAAUAUGGCGGAUGAGGCUGGAGAGAGUGAAGAUCUGUGAUUUGUGGCUCGCUGCAGUGUGAAGCAUUAUGACGAGAGACCAUCAGCGGCUGGGGGAUGCUGUGAGUCAAACAGGAUUUCAGUCCAUUGAAUAAAUGAAAACCAAUAUCUGAAACUGAACUUCAGCAUAGUGAAUAAAAAGUUCCAGUUGACACUGUCAAAAUGCUUUUGGUGUUGUGAUGCAAUGACUUAUUCAGAUUGUAAUUUUUUUUUUUUGGGGGGGAGGGGCUUAUUAGACUGAUUGUUUAAAUGCAGGUUAUUUGUGUGGAGUGUCUGCCUUUGAUGAAGCUUGUUAUGCCUGGGUGAAUUAGAUGUGUGAUUACCAGUUCCGUUCUGUUGGCUGGUGCAUUACUGGUGAUGUUAUGUCACAGUUGAUCAAACUUAUGGGGUGGUAAUUGUAGCAGAGGGUUGGAUCCUCAUUAGCUUUAAUCAGAAUCACAAUGAGUGCAGCAUUUCUAUGUGUUUGAAUAGAUGAGGAUGUCUUUAAUUUCAGUGGUCAACAACAGGGCUAAUAAUUGCCCAAGUGCUAAUAGAAUGUAGAAUGUAAUGUAGUGUGUUUUUCUGUUCAUCGGAUAGUUUGGAGAGGUCAAUAUUGUCCAUAAAUGACCAAUAACUGAUGGGCUGGGCUUAUAAUGAAUUAUGUAGGAAGCAAAGGGAAUCUUAGGCAAACUAAUGAAAGGCAAAUUAACAUGUUUUUUUCUACUGGUGAAGGCUUGUCACUGUCUGUUUUCUGGACUCUUAGGUAAGUAUAAUAAAAAAGAAACUGCAACCUUGGUAAAAAAAAAAUAACAUAAAAUAAGCAUGCGGCGCUGGUUUAAGAGGCCUAUGUUUUGUAGGGACAACAUUGAACCCGUGCCUGCAGCAGAAAUAACGGGAAGGAGUCUUUGCUGUAGAAACUUACACAGCAGAAUUUUAGUAAAAGCAGCUUAAUGCAGUUGAGGUUUCUACUACAAUCAUCCAUCUUCUCAAUAUGAUGGCUGCAGGUGCCAUAUUUCUGAGGGAUCUGACUGUGCAGAAUAUAGAAACAGGAUGGUUCAGGAUGCUGUGGCAUUAACAUUUACUGGGAUUUCAUCAUGAUGCUGAAUUUCCUGCCAGAUGUAGGUCCCACUCAGCAGAAUAAAUAGACAGGGAAACAACAACAAACCUUUCCCCACUGUGGCGAGAAGUGCCGGGGCAGGACCGUAGAGGAGGACUACAGGACCCCGUAAUUACAACAACUGGAGUCUGAAUGCAAACUACGCAAAUCUCCGGCUUCUCUCCUGGUUCAGGGGUACUCCACAGGCAGAUACGAUCACCUCCAGAGCAGGGUUCUGCGCUGUUUGUGUUGUUUUUGCCGUCCUGCCCGGCGCUAACAUGCAGAUUUGAGAUGCCGAUCUCGUCGGGAGCGGCAGGGCGAGUGGGGGUGGGGGUAAACGCCUCCAUAACAUGGAGCCCCGAGGGAUGGAAGCAGGACCCCAAUCUGCCCCCCAGGGACUGCGAUUCCUAUCUGGUGAGAUACUUAGAAACGCACCCGGAGGCGAGGAGAAGAGGCAACACUGACACUUCAGUGGUCACCCGUGAUCACACGAGUGACCAGAGACCAAAGGGCAAGAACAGGACCGGUUUCUCAAAAGCCCUAAAUGGAGAAACUGAUGCACAGCGACAACAGGAGAGCCAAGAUGGCAACGCCACUGGAACCCAGUGCAGCGGACCCACUUCUAACAAAUCUUCCAUGUGUGCGAUCCUAUAAAAAAAUCAUCCUCACAUAACCCUGGCCAUAUACACCGGCAGCCUCUCUAUAUCCUGCAGUGCAUCAAUCACACAGAGUGCCACAGAUUAUCUUUGCAGUAUGAAAGUUGUGAGGACCAGUGGUGGACUGUUAUACCACAGCUCCCCAGCUGAUGCCUGUGUGUGUGUGUGUGUGUGUGUGUGCAACAGAAGCAGCAUUUCUUAAAUACCUGAAUAUUCAAGGAAAUCAGAUAUUUGUGUAAAUCGUUUGAUUCAGUAUUUGAAUUAUGCUUUCACUGGUUUUGUGUAAUUGUGUUCUAUUAAGUAUUGUGUAAGACAGUAUUCUACUGAAGUUCUAUAUAUAGAACAGCCAUUAAACUGUAUUUGCAUAUGAACAUAAUGGAGUCUUUGGUGUUAAUGGCAUUUGAUCGUCACUUUGUUCUUGAGAAACCGUUUCCAGCCAUUUCACACAAACCCACUGCAAGAGCCGACUGCAAUUUUCCUGUCACUGAUGAAAGAAAAUGGAGUGAGAACCUGAACUCAGCGAGAGUGCA